RNAcentral lists this ribosomal RNA (519 nucleotides) under Halomonas sediminicola. RNAcentral's name for it is "bacterial SSU rRNA". It matches the Rfam family "Bacterial small subunit ribosomal RNA", at positions 720 to 1246 of the family's 1533-position model. The record is from RNAcentral. Lineage: Bacteria; Pseudomonadati; Pseudomonadota; Gammaproteobacteria; Oceanospirillales; Halomonadaceae.
GCGGCCUUUCUGGACUGACACUGACACUGAGGUGCGAAAGCGUGGGUAGCAAACAGGAUAAAAUACCCUGGUAGUCCACGCCGUAACAAUGUCACUAGCCGUUGGGUCCCUUGAGGACUUUGUGGCGCAGUUAACGCGAUAAGUCGACCGCCUGGGGAGUACGGCCGCAAGGUUAAACCUUAAAUGAAUUGACGGGGGCCCGCACAGCGGUGGAGCAUGUGGUUUAUUUCUAUGCAACGCGAAGAACCUUACCUACCCUUGACAUCGUGCGAACUUGGUAGAGAUACCUUGGUGCCUUCGGGAGCGCACAGACAGGUGCUGCAUGGCUGUCGUCAGCUCGUGUUGUGAAAUGUUGGGUUAAGUCCCGUAACGAGCGCAACCCUUGUCCCUAUUUGCCAGCGAUUCGGUCGGGAACUCUAUGGAGACUGCCGGUGACAACCGAAGGAAGGUGGGGACGACUUCUAUCUUCAUGGCCCUUACCGUUAGGGCUACACCCUGCUACAAUGGCCGUACAAAGGU